This is a long non-coding RNA of Lolium perenne, 628 nucleotides long. RefSeq lists it as uncharacterized. The record is from RefSeq and is a predicted model, not a curated record. NCBI's taxonomy places the organism in Eukaryota, Viridiplantae, Streptophyta, Magnoliopsida, Poales, Poaceae.
UCUCGCUUCGUUCCUCAUUCGGCCACUCCACUUCUUUUCUCUCCCGACCCUGGACAACACACAGGAGAGAGACCUGCCCUAGGGUUGAGCCGCCGUCCCAUCCUCCUGCAACAGCGAGCGCCGCCGCCGUCCGGCGCUCCGGCCGACCGGCUAGCACUCCAGGCCUCCAGCCGCACUCCUUCCCCACCGCAUCUCCAGGUCUCCAACCCCGCGUCAGCCGGUAGCACUCCACCACAGGCAUCCGGCCAGCAAGUGACACGAUGGCAUCCGAACCUGAGUAUGUUCUUGAGGAUAAGCUGAAUGCACGUUAACUUGCCCUUGCCUUGGGAAAGCGCAAGGCUGAUGAUGCUGCAUCCCCGGUCUUGGGAAAGUCAAGCAAAGUCCGCUAACAAGUGCAACAACUCUAUGUUAUAAAUGUUCUAUUGUGCUUGUCACCUCUAAGAUGUUAUUUGUCAAAUUGUGAGUUGUGAGUGUGAGACCAUGAGAUUGAGACUUGCUAUUUGUUGUAAGAAUUAAUGUUCUAUUAUUUGUUUUGAAUUAUAAACUGCUAUAUGUAAGCUGCUCUACUGUAACGUGUUGUGAACUUGUGAUAGACUGUUUAGUUUCCCCAUUUGUGUGCUCCCAUUUU